GGUUCUGUAGUGUAGUUGUAAUCACGUCUGUUUUACAAGCAGAAGGUCCUGGGUUCAAUCCCCAGUGGAAUCA
Non-coding RNA from Etheostoma spectabile (orangethroat darter), 73 nucleotides. NCBI's taxonomy places the organism in Eukaryota, Metazoa, Chordata, Actinopteri, Perciformes, Percidae. The record is from the annotation of a RefSeq genome assembly.